GUCGGCUGGUGUAGUUGGUCACUUCGCUGGUAGAUAAGUCCCGAUUUGAGCCUCGCCCACUCCACUUGGGUCGGUGACGAGUCGCGGGUUCGAAUCCCGCAGCUGACA
RNAcentral lists this transfer RNA (108 nucleotides) under Pseudomassariella vexata. RNAcentral's name for it is "tRNA-Thr". Lineage: Eukaryota; Fungi; Ascomycota; Sordariomycetes; Amphisphaeriales; Pseudomassariaceae. The record is from RNAcentral.